GAUGAACGCUGGCGGCGUGCCUAAUACAUGCAAGUCGAGCGAACAGACGAGGAGCUUGCUCCUCUGACGUUAGCGGCGGACGGGUGAGUAACACGUGGAUAACCUACCUAUAAGACUGGGAUAACUUCGGGAAACCGGAGCUAAUACCGGAUAAUAUAUUGAACCGCAUUGUUCAAUAGUGAAAGACGGUUUUGCUGUCACUUAUAGAUGGAUCCGCGCCGCAUUAGCUAGUUGGUAAGGUAACGGCUUACCAAGGCGACGAUGCGUAGCCGACCUGAGAGGGUGAUCGGCCACACUGGAACUGGGACACGGUCCAGACUCCUACGGGAGGCAGCAGUAGGGAAUCUUCCGCAAUGGGCGAAAGCCUGACGGGGCAACGCCGCGUGAGUGAUGAAGGUCUUCGGAUCGUAAAACUCUGUUAUUAGGGAAGAACAAAUGUGUAAGUAACUAUGCACGUCUUGACGGUACCUAAUCAGAAAGCCACGGCUAACUACGUG
Molecule: ribosomal RNA, 497 nt
Filed under: uncultured bacterium
Lineage: Bacteria
Description: partial 16S ribosomal RNA
Rfam family: Bacterial small subunit ribosomal RNA
Source: RNAcentral